RNAcentral lists this ribosomal RNA (253 nucleotides) under uncultured bacterium. RNAcentral's name for it is "partial 16S ribosomal RNA". It matches the Rfam family "Bacterial small subunit ribosomal RNA", at positions 524 to 776 of the family's 1533-position model. The record is from RNAcentral.
UACGUAGGGUGCAAGCGUUAAUCGGAAUUACUGGGCGUAAAGCGUGCGCAGGCGGUUGAGCAAGACCGAUGUGAAAGCCCCGGGCUUAACCUGGGAAUGGCAUUGGUGACUGCUCGGCUAGAGUGUGUCAGAGGGGGGUAGAAUUCCACGUGUAGCAGUGAAAUGCGUAGAGAUGUGGAGGAAUACCGAUGGCGAAGGCAAUCCCCUGGACCUGUACUGACGCUCAUGCACGAAAGCGUGGGGAGCAAACAGG